This 491-nucleotide long non-coding RNA is filed under the name Bos taurus (domestic cattle). RNAcentral's name for it is "long non-coding RNA NONBTAT006808". The record is from RNAcentral. Lineage: Eukaryota; Metazoa; Chordata; Mammalia; Artiodactyla; Bovidae.
GUUUAAAAUAUAGAGGUCUUUUUUCCGAAGUUUGAACAUCAGGCAAUUUUUAGGGUUUAGUUUAAAUAUUUAAGUAAUGAGCGUUUGGGCCCCCCCUUUUUUUAAAUUGACUUUUCUCUAUCUCUUGUUUCGUAUCUCCAAAAUGAUGCAUUUUUACAGAGCUUGGGAGAUCCAAGACUGUUUGCUUUUUCAGGUGGAAAAAAAAAAUCAGUUGACAAGAGAGAUCUUCAUUUUGGUCUAAUCUAUCAAAUAGCUUAACAUUGUGUAAGAAAUACAAUUGCAUCAUCAUCUGAAGCAGUGUUCUCAUGUUAGAUCUCUGUGUAAAUUUUACACACAAAAGGGAAGGCAGGUGGUGGUAGAACCCAGCUUCUUAGUAUAAUACUUCAUAAACGCUUUGUAGUAUUUGUUUGUGAUUUAUGAAUUAGAGUAGCUAAUUUUAUAAAAUUAGCAUAAUGGAAAAGAAUAGUAGUAUUUAGACUAUUAAACUAUUU